RNAcentral lists this ribosomal RNA (414 nucleotides) under uncultured prokaryote. RNAcentral's name for it is "bacterial SSU rRNA". It matches the Rfam family "Bacterial small subunit ribosomal RNA", at positions 505 to 918 of the family's 1533-position model. The record is from RNAcentral.
GUGUCAGCAGCCGCGGUAAUACGUAGGAGGCGAGCGUUAUCCGGAUUUACUGGGCGUAAAGCGCGCGCAGGCGGCUUCGUAAGUCGGAUGUGAAAGCCCCUGGCUCAACUGGGGGAGGCCAUUCGAUACUGCGAGGCUUGAGGUCGGGAGAGGGGUGUGGAAUUCCCGGUGUAGUGGUGGAAUGCGUAGAUAUCGGGAGGAACACCAGUGGCGAAGGCGGCACCCUGGCCCGCACCUGACGCUCAGGCGCGAAAGCGUGGGGAGCGAACGGGAUUAGAUACCCCGGUAGUCCACGCCGUAAACGAUGGAUGCUAGAUGUGGGCGGGGAGACCCGUCCGUGUCGCAAGCUAACGCGUUAAGCAUCCCGCCUGGGGAGUACGGCCGCAAGGUUGAAACUUAAAUGAAUUGACGGGG